RNAcentral lists this unclassified non-coding RNA (335 nucleotides) under soil metagenome. RNAcentral describes it as "partial contains 5.8S ribosomal RNA, internal transcribed spacer 2, and large subunit ribosomal RNA". The stretch from base 1 to 120 matches the Rfam family "5.8S ribosomal RNA", at positions 35 to 154 of the family's 154-position model. The record is from RNAcentral.
GAUGAAGAACGCAGCGAAAUGCGAUAAGUAGUGUGAAUUGCAGAAUUCAGUGAAUCAUCGAAUCUUUGAACGCACAUUGCGCCCUAUGGUAUUCCGUAGGGCAUGCCUGUUCGAGCGUCAUUCAAACCUUCAAGCUCUGCUUGGUGUUGGGCGUCUGUCCUGCCUCACGGCGCGGACUCGCCUCAAAUCUAUUGGCGGCCGGCACGUUGGCUUCGAGCGCAGCAGAAACGCGAACUCGAGACCGGCGGAUCGGCUCCCAGAAGCUACCCCCAUGGAUUUGACCUCGGAUCAGGUAGGGAUACCCGCUGAACUUAAGCAUAUCAAUAAGCGGAGGA